Myotis brandtii (Brandt's bat) is the source of this 3380-nucleotide RNA transcript. It is a transcript of the gene named Na+/K+ transporting ATPase interacting 2, with no coding region annotated. The transcript is spliced from 8 exons. The record is from RefSeq and is a predicted model, not a curated record. Lineage: Eukaryota; Metazoa; Chordata; Mammalia; Chiroptera; Vespertilionidae.
GUCCUAAUGCCUGUCCGUUCCCAGGACGCUGGCAGCGGCAGCCCGGAGCCCCCGAGCCCUCGGCAGGUCUGCCUGUCCUUCCCGGCGAUCUGAUUGGAUAAAGUGGGGGCUCGACGGUGGCCGACGCGGGACAGUCUGGCUGUGGCAGGGGUCUCGGAAACCAUGGGUUAUUGCAAUGGCAGGUGCACGCUGAUCUUUAUCUGUGGCAUGCAACUGGUUUGUGUGCUGGAGAGGCAAAUAUUUGACUUCCUUGGAUAUCAGUGGGCACCUAUCCUGGCAAAUUUUGUACAUAUUAUUAUCGUCAUUCUUGGUUUAUUUGGAACUAUUCAAUAUAGACCUCGUUACAUAAAAGGAUAUGCUGUCUGGCUAGUCCUCUGGGUUACGUGGAAUGUGUUUGUUAUCUGCUUCUACCUGGAGGCCGGGGACCUCUCAAAGGAAACAGACCUUAUCCUGACUUUUAAUAUUUCAAUGCACCGAUCUUGGUGGAUGGAGAAUGGACCAGGAUGUAUGGUGACAUCAGUGACACCCGCCCCAGACUGGGCCCCAGAAGACCAUCGCUACAUCACGGUCUCGGGGUGUGUUCUGGAGUACCAGUACAUAGAAGUGGCUCAUAGUUCCCUCCAGAUUGUCCUCGCACUGGCAGGGUUCAUCUACGCCUGUUAUGUUGUGAAAUGUAUAACUGAAGAAGAGGACAGCUUUGAUUUCAUAGGUGGCUUUGAUUCUUAUGGCUAUCAAGGGCCUCAGAAGACAUCUCAUUUACAACUGCAGCCUAUGUACAUGCAAAUUCCCUUGGAUAACAACUGAUAACAAAUUCUAUAUAUCAGCAUCAACUCAUAUGCUGAAUUGCAAGCGAAGAUCAAAAUAGAAAGUCGAAAUAAUACAUAUGGCUUCAUAAUGUCAGCUCCUGGACCUUACAAAAAAAAACUUGUUUCGCAGUGGCCUCCUGCAUUUUAUGAAGAGCAAGAAGCAACUGAGUUUAAAUAUACAUACAUUUUGACAAAACAAACACCAAGCCUCACAUACCAAACACCAAGCCUCACAUACACCAGGGCACGCGUGCGCGCGCGCACACACACACACACACACACACACACACACACACACACUGAGACACACACCAGUUCCACUUGGCCUCCUCUUCCUAACUGAAACAGACAAAUAUGCAGGACACGCCCAGCUCGGAUUUCCUGAAAGCAGGCUUCUUUCUCCCAGGCCUUUGGGAAGUUCAAAAGGAGACGUGUUGGUGCCCUCUGCUGGCCGUCACUAACUCCUCUGCCGCUCAGCCCGUGGGCCUCUGGGAGCUGUCAAGUCAUCCAGGGCAAAGUAGCUUGAGAGUCCUGUCUUCUGCACUCCAGACAUCUUGAUAGCACCACAGCUCCGUAGGCAACAGAAUUGCAAACACCAACAAACAAAACGUGCCAUGAUGACCUGGUAACCAAAGUCUGAAAUGGCAGGUUGUUUGCCCUAAAGGCUGUCCCGUACAUACUUGCCUUAACCCACCUAAGUUGUGCGCCCGAGAAUCUCAGUGCAGACAUCCCCAAGUCACUUCCUUUAGGCUAACACACUGCUAUUAAUUCCGAAUGAGUUCGAGUCUGUAUGUUUUAUGUCAAGAAACCAGACUGAAGAGCCCAGCAGCUCCAGUGUGUCUGUGUACGAAAACUGCCAGCUGUCAGCAAAGUGCUUUACCAUUGAGCCUCCACAGUGGCCAAAAAGAGACAAGUACCAAUAACAACAACAAUCAUCAUCAUCACCUUUAUAAUUCUUAAACAUGGGCUUCUGAUGGGGUUGGGCAGGGGCAAAGUAAAACUUAAUAAUCUACUAACAUCAUUUAUCUACUGGAAGCAGAAAUGGCAUAACUCACUGACUUUAUUUAUCGCACUCUAGGUGCUUUUAUAAGUAUCUACAAAUGUCUUUUACUAACACAGAAACAGCUGUGGAUUUCUAUCAACAGAGGCCAACUGAAUAUGUAUUAGCGAUGUUUACUCUUUUAUAUCUAAUUCAAAUUGAAGACCCUAUGUAGGUGAACUUUUUUUCCUAACUUCCAGCGUAUGAGAUUAUUUUUGGGGUGGGCGGGGCGGGGGAGCAAUAGUUAUCUUGGUGACAUAUUUGAGAUCUCUUUGUGGUGAUUGGGGGAUCCGUUGUGUGGUAGAGUGUAUUUGAAUCCUCCUGUAUUAUUGUGGCAGAAAAACUGUGCUGUUAACGUAGUUGGCAACAAGAUGCCUUUGGAAACUUAAUAGUAGGUCACUGUGUUUAUGAAAUAUUCUGAAUUUCUAGGAAAUUUUGUUCUAUAUAUUCAAGCAUUAUUUGGUUUUCAUUAGUGGAAAACAUAAUUAGCUCAGGCUUGUCAGGAACUCAGAUGAGUCACGUUUUUUUCUUGGAUCCACCUGAGACAUUAAAAACAAAUUUUUUUAAACAAAUAUACCAUCCUUAAGUGCAGCGAAAUUCAGACUUGAAACGUUAUGCAUUGGCAUGAAGCAACUUUUUCUCUUGGUUUCUAUGAAGUUUCAGUUAUUGGGUUAACCUACUUUGGACCUUAUCCCAUCCGGAACUACAUAAACCAUUCCCAUGACUGUGUUGCAUGGAUAUCAAUGAUACACACGCAUAUACACUUGAAAACGAUCAAGGAACAAAGGUUGCUAUUGAAACGUAAACUACAAAAAGGGGUUCCAGCACUUGUGCUUGAAUUUUCUCAGUGGCUUGUAUGUGUUUGUCCAUACAUACAUGUAAUAAAAGACAGGAUUACAAACAUGUCAGUGAAACCUCACCUAACCAUUUUAUAGUGGCAUGCAUGUUUCAUAUAUGAGAAAAACAUUUACCAAUGUCCUGUCCUUUGAUUCUUAAAAUAUAAAUACUCUACAUGCCAGAAACUACUCUAAUGUAACUAUUAAUGUGACAAUUAAAAUGAGGUUUCACUGUACAUUCAUGCUGUGAUCAGAUUCCUCCUUCCAGGACAUGUAUGUGGAUAAGAACUGAAAUGCACAGAGAAGAAGCCCUCAUCUUCCUCCUUUAAGUUGCAGCCAACUUGCCACCUAACCACUACUAUCAUCGCCACCAAAAUUUUUCAAAACCAGUUGUUGACUACUAAAAGGAAUCAGUGGACAGGUCGUUGCUGGGAGCAGUGAGCACAGUCGUGUGAUUACAUCUGGAAAAGCAAGUUGUACAGCUGUAUCCUCCUCAAGACCCGGUGAAGAAUGCUAUUUUUCUAGGCUGAGCUUUUGUUAUAAACCUAAUAUUCAGAAGGCAAGAGUUACAAACCUGAUGUGUCUUUUUCUUCCUUUCCUUUUUUGCGUUUAUUAAUUCUGAAUGUAUUUUUAACAGAGUGAUUUUUUUGACUUACCAGUGUAAUUUGCAUUUUAAAAAUAAAUGGAAAAACAAUCACG